RNAcentral lists this ribosomal RNA (356 nucleotides) under uncultured bacterium. Its description in RNAcentral is "bacterial SSU rRNA". It matches the Rfam family "Bacterial small subunit ribosomal RNA", at positions 8 to 353 of the family's 1533-position model. The record is from RNAcentral.
AGAGUUUGAUCAUGGCUCAGGAUGAACGCUAGCUACAGGCUUAACACAUGCAAGUCGAGGGGCAGCAUGGUCUUAGCUUGCUAAGGCCGAUGGCGACCGGCGCACGGGUGAGUAACACGUAUCCAACCUGCCGUCUACUCUUGGGACAGCCUUCUGAAAGGAAGAUUAAUACAAGAUGGCAUCAUGAGUCCGCAUGUUCACAUGAUUAAAGGUAUUCCGGUAGACGAUGGGGAUGCGUUCCAUUAGAUAGUAGGCGGGGUAACGGCCCACCUAGUCUUCGAUGGAUAGGGGUUCUGAGAGGAACGGUCCCCCACAUUGGAACUAAGACACGGUCCAAACUCCUACGGGAGGCAGCA